GGACAUGGGCGAAGCUAGAUCCAGCCAUGCCGCGUGUGUGAAGAAGCCUUCGGGUUGUAAAGCACUUUCAGCGAGGAAGAACGCUUCGGGAUUAAUACUCCCGAGGAAAGACAUACUCGCAGAAGAAGCACCGGCUAACUCCGUGCCAGCAGCCGCGGUAAUACGGAGGGUGCAAGCGUUAAUCGGAAUUACUGGGCGUAAAGCGCGCGUAGGUGGCUAAGUCAGCCAGGUGUGAAAGCCCCGGGCUCAACCUGGGAACGGCAUCUGGAACUGCUUGGCUAGAGUGCAGAGAGGAGGUAGAAUUCCCGGUGUAGCGGUGAAAUGCGUAGAGAUCGGGAGGAAUACCGUGGCGAAGGCGGCCUUCUGGACUGACACUGACCUGAGGUGCGAAAGCGUGGGUAGCAAACAGGAUUAGAUACCCUGGUAGUCCACGCCGUAAACGAUGUCAACUAGCCGUGGGUCCCUUGAGGACUUAGUGGCGCAGCUAACGCAAUAAGUGACCGUCCUGGGGAGUACGGCCGCAAGGUG
RNAcentral lists this ribosomal RNA (528 nucleotides) under uncultured Gammaproteobacteria bacterium. Its description in RNAcentral is "bacterial SSU rRNA". It matches the Rfam family "Bacterial small subunit ribosomal RNA", at positions 366 to 895 of the family's 1533-position model. Lineage: Bacteria; Pseudomonadati; Pseudomonadota; Gammaproteobacteria. The record is from RNAcentral.